This 253-nucleotide ribosomal RNA is filed under the name uncultured bacterium. RNAcentral describes it as "partial 16S ribosomal RNA". It matches the Rfam family "Bacterial small subunit ribosomal RNA", at positions 524 to 776 of the family's 1533-position model. The record is from RNAcentral.
UACGUAGGGUGCGAGCGUUGUCCGGAAUUAUUGGGCGUAAAGGGCUCGUAGGCGGUUUGUCGCGUCGGGAGUGAAAACCAGGUGCUUAACACCUGGCUUGCUUUCGAUACGGGCAGACUAGAGGCAUGCAGGGGAGAACGGAAUUCCUGGUGUAGCGGUGAAAUGCGCAGAUAUCGAGAGGAACACCUGCGGCGAAGGCGGGUUGCUGGGCUGAUACUGACGCUGAGGCGCGAAAGCCAGGGGAGCGAACGGG